GACGAACGCUGGCGGCGUGCUCAACACAUGCAAGUCGAACGGUAAGGCCCUUCGGGGUACACGAGUGGCGAACGGGUGAGUAACACGUGGGUGAUCUGCCCUGCACUUCGGGAUAAGCCUGGGAAACUGGGUCUAAUACCGGAUAGGACCACUGCCUGCAUGGGUGGUGGCGGAAAGCUUUUGCAGUGUGGGAUGGGCCCGCGGCCUAUCAGCUUGUUGGUGGGGUGAUGGCCUACCAAGGCGACGACGGGUAGCCGGCCUGAGAGGGUGACCGGCCACACUGGGACUGAGAUACGGCCCAGACUCCUACGGGAGGCAGCAGUGGGGAAUAUUGCACAAUGGGCGCAAGCCUGAUGCAGCGACGCCGCGUGAGGGAUGACGGCCUUCGGGUUGUAAACCUCUUUCAGCACCGACGAAGCGCAAGUGACGGUAGGUGCAGAAGAAGGACCGGCCAACUACGUGCCAGCCGCCGCAGUAA
Molecule: ribosomal RNA, 478 nt
Filed under: uncultured bacterium
Lineage: Bacteria
Description: partial 16S ribosomal RNA
Rfam family: Bacterial small subunit ribosomal RNA
Source: RNAcentral